This 347-nucleotide ribosomal RNA is filed under the name uncultured bacterium. RNAcentral describes it as "bacterial SSU rRNA". It matches the Rfam family "Bacterial small subunit ribosomal RNA", at positions 29 to 383 of the family's 1533-position model. The record is from RNAcentral.
AAUGAACGUUGGCAGCGUGGAUUAGGCAUGCAAGUCGAGCGACAAGGUCCUGGACUGGAGGAGCGGCAACGGGUAGGUAAUACAUCGGAACGUACCUCACGUCUGGGAUAGCCACGGGAAACUGUGGGUAAUACUGGAUAAUCUCACCACUUGUGAAGAGUGGUGAGCAAAGGUCCGCCGCGUGAGGAGCGGCCGAUGCGAUACUAGAUAGUUGGUGGGGUAAUGGCCCUACCAAGUCUAAGAUGUCUAGGGGGUGUGAGAGCAUGGCCCCCACCACUGGGACUGAGACACUGCCCAGACACCUACGGGUGGCUGCAGUCGAGAAUCUUUGGCAAUGGGCGCAAGCC